AACGCGAAGAACCUUACCUGGCCUUGACAUGCUUUGGACCGACGCUGAAAGGCGUCUUUCCCGCAAGGGACCGGAGCACAGGUGCUGCAUGGCUGUCGUCAGCUCGUGUCGUGAGAUGUUGCGUUAAGUCGCGCAACGAGCGCAACCCCUGUCCUUAGUUGCCAUCAUUCAGUUGGGCACUCUAGGGAGACAAACCCUCUUUGAGGGUGGGAAGGUGGGGAUGACGUCAAGUCAGGAUGGCCCUUACGGCCAGGGCUGCACACGUACUACAAUGCCCAGUACAGAGGGAAGCAAGACCGCGAGGUGGAGCAAAUCCUCAAAACUGGGCCCAGUUCAGAUUGUAGUCUGCAACUCGACUACAUGAAGUUGGAAUCGCUAGUAAUGGCGUAUCAGCUACGGCGCCGUGAAUACGUUCCCGGGCCUUGUACACACCGUGUCGA
Molecule: ribosomal RNA, 440 nt
Filed under: uncultured bacterium
Lineage: Bacteria
Description: bacterial SSU rRNA
Rfam family: Bacterial small subunit ribosomal RNA
Source: RNAcentral